This 72-nucleotide transfer RNA is filed under the name Toxocara canis (dog roundworm). It matches the Rfam family "tRNA". Rfam says of the family: Transfer RNA (tRNA) molecules are approximately 80 nucleotides in length. Their secondary structure includes four short double-helical elements and three loops (D, anti-codon, and T loops). Lineage: Eukaryota; Metazoa; Nematoda; Chromadorea; Rhabditida; Toxocaridae. The record is from Rfam by way of RNAcentral.
UGGACAGUAGCUAAUAGGUAGAGCUUUCGCUUCAUAAGCGAAAAGGCCCGAGAUGGACUCCCGGCUGCUUUG